GGGGCUGUAGCUCAGUGGUAAAGCACUUGCAUCACAUGUACGAGGCACUGGGUUCGAGCCUCAGCACCACA
RNAcentral lists this transfer RNA (71 nucleotides) under Marmota monax (woodchuck). Its description in RNAcentral is "tRNA.Val". The record is from RNAcentral. Lineage: Eukaryota; Metazoa; Chordata; Mammalia; Rodentia; Sciuridae.